AACUAAUGAUGAUGAUGAUGGCUCAAUAAUUAUUUAUAGGUCAGAUCAUCAUCAUCAUCAUCAUCCAAA
Brugia malayi is the source of this 69-nucleotide non-coding RNA. The record is from RefSeq and is a predicted model, not a curated record. NCBI's taxonomy places the organism in Eukaryota, Metazoa, Nematoda, Chromadorea, Rhabditida, Onchocercidae.